RNAcentral lists this ribosomal RNA (451 nucleotides) under uncultured bacterium. RNAcentral describes it as "partial 16S ribosomal RNA". It matches the Rfam family "Bacterial small subunit ribosomal RNA", at positions 29 to 523 of the family's 1533-position model. The record is from RNAcentral.
AGCGAACGCUGGCGGCAUGCUAAACACAUGCAAGUCGCACGAACCUUUCGGGGUUAGUGGCGGACGGGUGAGUAACGCGUAGGAAUCUGUCCACGGGUGGGGGAUAACUCUGGGAAACUGGAGCUAAUACCGCAUGAUACCUGAGGGUCAAAGGCGCAAGUCGCCUGUGGAGGAGCCUGCGUUCGAUUAGGUAGUUGGUGGGGUAAAGGCCUGCCAAGGCGAUGAUCGAUAGCUGGUUUGAGAGGAUGAACAGCCACCCUGGGACUGAGACACGGCCCAGACUCCUACGGGAGGCAGCAGUGGGGAAUAUUGGACAAUGGGGGCAACCCUGAUCCAGCAAUGCCGCGUGUGUGAAGAAGGUCUUCGGAUUGUAAAGCACUUUCGACGGGGACGAUGAUGACGGUACCCGUAGAAGAAGCCCCGGCUAACUUCGUGCCAGCAGCCGCGGUAA